UUGAACGCUGGCGGCAUGCCUAACACAUGCAAGUCGAACGGUAACGCGAGGAGCUUGCUCCUUGGCGACGAGUGGCGGACGGGUGAGUAACGCUUAGGAAUCUGCCCAGUAGUGGGGGACAACAUUCGGAAACGGAUGCUAAUACCGCAUACGCACUACGGUGGAAAGUGGGGGAUCUUCGGACCUCACGCUAUUGGAUGAGCCUAAGUCGGAUUAGCUUGUUGGUGAGGUAAUGGCUCACCAAGGCGACGAUCCGUAGCUGGUCUGAGAGGACGAUCAGCCACACUGGGACUGAGACACGGCCCAGACUCCUACGGGAGGCAGCAGUGGGGAAUAUUGGACAAUGGGCGCAAGCCUGAUCCAGCAAUGCCGCGUGUGUGAAGAAGGCCUGCGGGUUGUAAAGCACUUUCAGUAGAGAAGAAAAGCCUAGGGUUAAUACCCCUGAGUCUUGACGUAACCUACAGAAGAAGCACCGGCUAACUCCGUG
Molecule: ribosomal RNA, 487 nt
Filed under: uncultured bacterium
Lineage: Bacteria
Description: bacterial SSU rRNA
Rfam family: Bacterial small subunit ribosomal RNA
Source: RNAcentral